RNAcentral lists this long non-coding RNA (544 nucleotides) under Meleagris gallopavo (turkey). Its description in RNAcentral is "lncRNA (ENSMGAG00000021451.1)". The record is from RNAcentral. Lineage: Eukaryota; Metazoa; Chordata; Aves; Galliformes; Phasianidae.
UCCAUAGGAGCCUAAGAGUUAUGUAGGUCCUUGGUACCAUUGCAUUAGACAUGGUAUUUUCUCUUGAUGGUUUUCUGUAAACUUUUUUUUUUUUUUUUAAAGGUUCUUCCUCCCUCUCAUGAAUUGUGCUUGGUAUUUAGUCAGAAAUGAUCACAUUUUGACUGAGUUAAUGUAUUCAAAGGAAAACCUGUGUAGAGAACGGAGUACAGAACUGAUGUCCUGUCAUUAUGAUGUCUUACUUUCUUUGGAUUUCAAGUUAAUCACAGCUGAGUUCAGGUUUACAAGGAGAAAGAGAUGCUCAGUAUCUCAAAGGAUGUGCCAACCAAUUCAGUCUGUGUAUUUCUAAAUCAGGAAAAACUUGUGAUGGUACCAGAGCAGCUAGAGACUGUAAGUCCACAAGUGCAUGCUGUUUUUGAUGUCUCGGAUCUCUGAUUUUGGCUCAGAAGUUUUGCUUUGUGUGGUAGGGAGUUCCUUCAUUCCUCAUUGACUUCAGUUAGAGUUGAAACGUGCUCAGUUGGUGCAGAUAUCAGCAAAAAUGUAAAUU